RNAcentral lists this ribosomal RNA (499 nucleotides) under uncultured bacterium. RNAcentral's name for it is "bacterial SSU rRNA". It matches the Rfam family "Bacterial small subunit ribosomal RNA", at positions 30 to 518 of the family's 1533-position model. The record is from RNAcentral.
UGAACGCUAGCGACAGGCUUAACACAUGCGAGUCGAGGGGCAGCAUAGAAGUAGCAAUACUUGGUGGCGACCGGCGCACGGGUGAGUAACGCGUAUGCAACCUACCUAUCAGAGGGGAAUAACCCGGCGAAAGUCGGACUAAUACCGCAUAAAACAGGGGCACCGCAUGGUGAUAUUUGUUAAAGAAAUUCGCUGAUAGAUGGGCAUGCGUUCCAUUAGGUAGUUGGUGAGGUAACGGCUCACCAAGCCGACGAUGGAUAGGGGAACUGAGAGGUUGGUCCCCCACACUGGUACUGAGACACGGACCAGACUCCUACGGGAGGCAGCAGUGAGGAAUAUUGGUCAAUGGGCGGGAGCCUGAACCAGCCAAGUCGCGUGAAGGGAAAAGAAGGAUCUAUGGUUACGUAAACUUCUUUUGCAGGGGAAUAAAGUGCAGGACGUGUCCUGUUUUGUAUGUACCCUGAGAAUAAGGAUCGGCUAACUCCGUGCCAGCAGCAGC